Molecule: non-coding RNA, 683 nt
Filed under: Pan troglodytes (chimpanzee)
Lineage: Eukaryota; Metazoa; Chordata; Mammalia; Primates; Hominidae
Also listed under: 1 other name
Source: RNAcentral
GAAAAGGACCAGGGAAAAGGAGAGGUCCAACAAUCAAGAUAUCCGGAGUUCAGGUUAAUGUGAAAUCCAUUAUCCAACAUGAAGAGGAGUUUGAGAUGCUGCAUAAAUCUAUCCCUGUGGACCCUGAAGAAAAAAAAAAAUACUGCUUAACCUGUCGUGUCAAAGCUGCACAUUUUGAUGUAGAGUGGGGGGUGGAAGAUGAUUCUCGCCUGUUGCUGGGGAUUUAUGAACAUGGCUAUGGAAACUGGGAGUUAAUUAAAACAGACCCAGAGCUUAAAUUAACUGACAAAAUUCUGCCGGUGGAGACAGAUAAAAAGCCUCAGGGGAAGCAGCUACAGACCCGAGCGGAUUACUUGUUGAAGCUGCUCAGAAAGGGUCUGGAGAAGAAGGGGGCUGUGACAGGUGGGGAAGAGGCCAAAUUAAAGAAGCGGAAGCCUCGGGUAAAGAAGGAAAACAAAGUGCCCAGGCUGAAAGAGGAGCAUGGAAUUGAGCUUUCAUCUCCUAGGCAUUCAGAUAAUCCAUCAGAAGAGGGAGAAGUGAAAGAUGAUGGCUUGGAAAAAAGUCCAAUGAAAAAAAAACAGAAGAAGAAAGAGAACAAGGAGAACAAGGAGAAACAAAUGAGUUCUAGGAAAGACAAAGAAGGGGACAAGGAAAGAAAGAAGUCAAAAGAUAAGAAAGAGAAG